RNAcentral lists this non-coding RNA (87 nucleotides) under Pseudomonas psychrophila. Lineage: Bacteria; Pseudomonadati; Pseudomonadota; Gammaproteobacteria; Pseudomonadales; Pseudomonadaceae. The record is from RNAcentral.
UGUGGGAGCGGGCUUGCUCGCGAUUGCCUCAGCGCAAUGUUUCAGACAAACCGAGUCGCCAGCAUCGCGAGCAAGCCCGCUCCCACA